UACACGACCGUACCGCAAACCGACACUGGUGCGCGAGAUGAGUAUUCUAAGGCGCUUGAGAGAACUCAGGAGAAGGAACUCGGCAAAUUGACACCGUAACUUCGGAAGAAGGUGUGCCUUUAGUAGGUGAACCUGUACAAGGGGAGCCCAAUGAGGUUGCAAAAAAUCGGUGGCUGCGACUGUUUAAUAAAAACACAGCACUCUGCAAACACGAAAGUGGACGUAUAGGGUGUGACGCCUGCCCGGUGCUGGAAGAUUAAAUGAUGGGGUGCAAGCUCUUGAUUGAAGUCCCAGUAAACGGCGGCCGUAACGAUAACGGUCCUAAGGUAGCGAAAUUCCUUGUCGGGUAAGUUCCGACCUGCACGAAUGGCGUAACGAUGGCCACACUGUCUCCUCCUGAGACUCAGCGAAGUUGAAAUGUUUGUGAUGAUGCAAUCUCCCCGCGGAAAGACGGAAAGACCCCAUGAACCUUUACUGUAGCUUUGUAUUGGACUUUGAACAGAUCUGUGUAGGAUAGGUGGGAGGCUUUGAAGUGUGGUCGCUAGAUCGCAUGGAGCCAACGUUGAAAUACCACCCUGGUGUGUUUGAGGUUCUAACCUAGGCCCGUAAUCCGGGUCGGGGACAGUGCAUGGUAGGCAGUUUGACUGGGGCGGUCUCCUCCCAAAGCGUAACGGAGGAGUUCGAAGGUACGCUAGGUACGGUCGGACAUCGUGCUAAUAGUGCAAUGGCAUAAGCGUGCUUAACUGCGAGACUGACAAGUCGAGCAGAUGCGAAAGCAGGACAUAGUGAUCCGGUGGUUCUGUAUGGAAGGGCCAUCGCUCAACGGAUAAAAGGUACUCUGGGGAUAACAGGCUGAUACCGCCCAAGAGUUCAUAUCGACGGCGGUGUUUGGCACCUCGAUGUCGGCUCAUCUCAUCCUGGGGCUGUAGCCGGUCCCAAGGGUAUGGCUGUUCGCCAUUUAAAGAGGUACGUGAGCUGGGUUUAAAACGUCGUGAGACAGUUUGGUCCCUAUCUUCCGUGGGCGCUGCAGAUUUGAGGAAGCCUGCUCCUAGUACGAGAGGACCGGAGUGGACACACCUCUGGUGUAUCGGUUGUCACGCCAGUGGCAUUGCCGAGUAGCUAUGUGUGGAAGAGAUAACCGCUGAAAGCAUCUAAGCGGGAAACUCGUUUCAAGAUGAGAUCUGCCGGGGCCUUGAGCCCCCUAAAGAGUCGUUCAAGACCAGGACGUUGAUAGGUCGGGUGUGGAAGCGCAGUAAUGCGUUAAGCUAACCGAUACUAAUUGCUCGUGCGGCUUGACCAU
RNAcentral lists this ribosomal RNA (1300 nucleotides) under metagenome. Its description in RNAcentral is "bacterial LSU rRNA". It matches the Rfam family "Bacterial large subunit ribosomal RNA", at positions 1635 to 2925 of the family's 2925-position model. The record is from RNAcentral.